Molecule: long non-coding RNA, 1620 nt
Organism: Homo sapiens (human)
Lineage: Eukaryota; Metazoa; Chordata; Mammalia; Primates; Hominidae
Product: long intergenic non-protein coding RNA 1287
Source: Ensembl
GCGCGACUUCCCUGGCCCUCCCCCUGCGGACCAGUGAACCUCGCCCGAGGGCUCAAUAAAGAAGAUUUUUGCCCUCUUUUUCUCACCUCUCAGCCUUAUUGAUCCAUGGUGCCCUUCCAUUGCCUUUCAUUGGUGCCGAAACCCGGGAGGGGACACCUCCUAAGCCCCCCCAGAGGCUCAGGGGGACUCCCCUCCUGGUCGGAUCAGUCCUCUCCCUCAGUCAGGUCAGGCUUCUCCUCCACGGCCAUCUGUCCAUUUCGUCCGGUUACUUGCUGCCAGGUCGCAGUUGCUGCAGCUACUCCAGUCCAAUUCGGCCGACGCUAGUUGCCUGGCUGCAAUAUACCUUGGACAACCAAUCUCGCUGGCCCCCCAAAGGCACACUCGACUUCAAUAUCCUAAACGACCUUACCAAUUUUUGUCAGAGGCGAGGCAAAUAGUCAAAAAUCAAAUUUGUUCAAAGGUUCUGGGACCUCCGCUCUCGUCGGACCGCUGCCGCCAAGUGUUUUCGCUGGCACAAGUCCCUGUGGCUAGCCUUCCCCUUGAAGUCUGGCCAGCCUCUCUUGCCGUUAAUCCUGUCCGGGGCCCCCAUCUUAGUCUCUCUGCCGCCAUCUCCUUCUGCACUGCCGCCAUCUUACUACCUGCUUCCUCACUGCCGCCAUCUUACUUCCUUUUUUCUCUGCUGCCAUUUUAGUUCUUCUGCCACCAUUCGGCUGCCAUUUUAAUUCCCAUUAGUUCCCAUUUGUUCUUUUAACCCUGCCCAGCUAACUCCUUGGCUUCCAUCUUACCCGCAUUCUUAUUUCCACCUGCCUAUAGUGCCAUACCAGUCCACUGCAUCUACAACUCCUAACACAUUCGCUGCGGGCAGUGAUAUCCACUAAUCCUGGAUGAGGCAGCGGAGGGCCCCCAAACCCCUAUCCAGGACUUAGUAAAGCUGGCGUUCAAAGUUUUUAAUUCCUGAGAGGAGGCGGCUGAGGUACAACGACAGGCAAGCCUGAAACAAAAAGUUCAGCUCCAAACCCAAGCCCUGGCAGCUGCCCUGCAACCGGCAUUCCCUAAGAGCCGCGGCAGGAGAGGUAGAGGUACAAUCUCCCGGGCCCCGUCUGGCGUCUGCUUCAAGUGAGGCAACUCAGGACACUGGGCCAGCCGGUGCCCUAGCCAACAGCAACCGUCCUGCCCGCCUUGCAACUGUUUCAAGUGUGGCAAUCCAGGUCAUUGGGCAAAACAGUGCCCAAACCCCAAGCCGCCAACACACCCGUGCCCUAACUGCCAACAAAUGGAGCACUGGAGGUCAGACUGCCCCAGCCUCGGAGCGGCCGCUGUGGCUCCACAUGGCGACCCCUCCCUGGAUGGCGAAGGUGCCCUCUAGCUCCUCCAACUGGAUGACGACUGAAGAGGCCCAGGCUCGGGAACCCCUCUCACCCUUGCCGAGCCCAGGGUAAUGCUUCAGGUAGCGGGAAAAUGGGAUGUCAUCAAAGCCCUUUGAGAAAAGGAGGGAUGUGAUCAGAUUUGUAAUUUUCAAAGAUUUCCUGAGGUGCUGUGAAUUUUACAGAUCAACUGAGAUGCAAAACCCAUGUUCACAUCAUGAGUGAGUCUUCUAACUCGGACAAUGCAAUCAACAAA